GGAGCUGUAGCUCAGUGGUAGAGCAGCUGCUUUGUAUGCAGAAGGUCCCAGGUUCAAUUCCUGCCAUCUCCA
This is a non-coding RNA of Hemicordylus capensis (graceful crag lizard), 72 nucleotides long. NCBI's taxonomy places the organism in Eukaryota, Metazoa, Chordata, Lepidosauria, Squamata, Cordylidae. The record is from the annotation of a RefSeq genome assembly.